CCUACGGGUGGCAGCAGUGAGGAAUAUUGGUCAAUGGUCGCGAGACUGAACCAGCCAAGUCGCGUGAGGGAAGACGGUACAGUGUAUUGUAAACCUCUUUUGUCAGGGAACAAAAGACGCCACGCGUGCCGGGCCGAGAGUACCCGAAGAAAAAGCAUCGGCUAACUCCGUGCCAGCAGCCGCGGUAAUACGGAGGAUGCGAGCGUUAUCCGGAUUUAUUGGGUUUAAAGGGUGCGCAGGCGGACUAUUAAGUCAGCGGUAAAAGUGCGAGGCUCAACCCCGUCGAGCCGUUGAAACUGGUUGUCUCGAGUGAGCGAGAAGUAUGCGGAAUGCGCGGUGUAGCGGUGAAAUGCAUAGAUAUCACGCAGAACUCCGAUUGCGAAGGCAGCAUACCGGCGCUCCACUGACGCUCAGGCACGAAAGUGUGGGUAUCGAACAGGAUUAGAUACCCGGGUAGUC
This 459-nucleotide ribosomal RNA is filed under the name uncultured bacterium. RNAcentral describes it as "partial 16S ribosomal RNA". It matches the Rfam family "Bacterial small subunit ribosomal RNA", at positions 338 to 795 of the family's 1533-position model. The record is from RNAcentral.